CCAGCUCUAGACGUGCAGCAGGGAAUUCGCCCAGGACACCGGCUUCAGCUUUAGCAGUGACUGCAUACUGUUGGCAUUCUUGACCCCAAGCAACCUUGGCCUGAAGGACAUUUGUGUUCAAAGGAUGCAGGGCACCAUCAGCACAGAUCUUCAUGUUGUCAUUUUCAGCGAUGGAGGAAACAACGAGCUGCACUCUUGCUGUUGGCUUGUCAAAGUAUGCAGCAAGUUGGUAGCCCAGCAGCUUGUGGUCAACUCUCACAGCACGGGCAAUGACAGCAAAAACAGGUGGAAGAGCACUUCCGAGGAAUAUAGCCUGAAAGCAUAAACCAUAAUCAAUUUAAGUGGAAUUUAGUACAAAAUGUCACCUUUGGAUUAUAUGUUAUUAAUGACACUAGUUGAUUCACCUGUUUCUGGAGAGCCUCAAAGCUAGAUGCAGUGCUUCCACUGCUUACUGCCUUUGAAGCACCAUGGGGUGCCAUGAACUGCAAGCAAAAAUAAGUUUUGUAAUAAGUAAUCAAUAUAAUCUAAAGUAAUGAUAUUAAAAAUAGUAUUUUUAGUAGUUA
Rhinichthys klamathensis goyatoka is the source of this 563-nucleotide long non-coding RNA. RefSeq lists it as uncharacterized. The record is from RefSeq and is a predicted model, not a curated record. The transcript is spliced from 2 exons. Lineage: Eukaryota; Metazoa; Chordata; Actinopteri; Cypriniformes; Leuciscidae.